CCAGACUCCUACGGGAGGCAGCAGUGGGGGAUAUUGCACAAUGGGGGGAACCCUGAUGCAGCGACGCCGCGUGGGUGAAGGAGCGUUUCGGCGCGUAAAGCCCUAUCGGCAGGGAAGAAGGAGGACGGUACCUGACUAAGAAGCCCCGGCUAACUACGUGCCAGCAGCCGCGGUAAUACGUAGGGGGCAAGCGUUAUCCGGAUUUACUGGGUGUAAAGGGGGCGCAGACGGCAGCGCAAGCCAGGAGUGAAAGCCCGGGGCCCAACCCCGGGACUGCUCUGGAAACUGUACGGCUGGAGUGCAGGAGAGGUAAGUGGAAUUCCUAGUGUAGCGGUGAAAUGCGUAGAUAUUAGGAGGAACACCGGCGGCGAAGGCGGCCUGCUGGACCGUAACUGACGUUGAGGCUCGAAAGCGUGGGGAGCAAACAGGAUUAGAUACCCGUGUACU
Molecule: ribosomal RNA, 447 nt
Filed under: uncultured bacterium
Lineage: Bacteria
Description: bacterial SSU rRNA
Rfam family: Bacterial small subunit ribosomal RNA
Source: RNAcentral